CAGUCGUGCUAGUGAGGAAUCAACUCGGUGGUUUUCUUCCGCGUGUACUUUCUCGCCUGGCAGGUUAGCAUCAAUUUCGAUCAUCAUUAAAUGAUUGGAGGUAAUGUGGCUUCUCUUCGGAGUAGUGUUAUAGACCUUGGUAGAUGUGAUGAUCGGGAUUGAGGAUUGCAGCGAAUGCUAUUUGGCUAGCCCCCUGAUUUCUGAUGGUCACCUCGCCUUCGACAGCUUGCUGACGUGGGUGGGUUCUGGUUGUCUAGAUGUUAGAGUGAUCAUAUA
Molecule: ribosomal RNA, 276 nt
Filed under: Glomeromycotina sp. SSL6
Lineage: Eukaryota; Fungi; Glomeromycota
Description: partial large subunit rRNA
Source: RNAcentral